GAUGAACGCUAGCGACAGGCUUAACACAUGCAAGUCGAGGGGCAGCACAGGUAGCAAUACCGGGUGGCGACCGGCGCACGGGCGAGUAACGCGUAUGCAACUUACCUAUCAGAGGGGGAUAACCCGGCGAAAGUCGGACUAAUACCGCAUGAAGCAGGGGUCCCGCAUGGGGAUAUUUGCUAAAGAUUCAUCGCUGAUAGAUAGGCAUGCGUUCCAUUAGGCAGUUGGCGGGGUAACGGCCCACCAAACCGACGAUGGAUAGGGGUUCUGAGAGGAAGGUCCCCCACAUUGGUACUGAGACACGGACCAAACUCCUACGGGAGGCAGCAGUGAGGAAUAUUGGUCAAUGGCCGAGAGGCUGAACCAGCCAAGUCGCGUGAGGGAUGAAGGUUCUAUGGAUCGUAAACCUCUUUUAUAAGGGAAUAAAGUGCGGGACGUGUCCCGUUUUGUAUGUACCUUAUGAAUAAGGAUCGGCUAACUCCGUG
This 485-nucleotide ribosomal RNA is filed under the name uncultured bacterium. RNAcentral describes it as "partial 16S ribosomal RNA". It matches the Rfam family "Bacterial small subunit ribosomal RNA", at positions 28 to 507 of the family's 1533-position model. The record is from RNAcentral.